CACAAACCCUCACAGCCAAGGCGAGGAGGAAACCCCUGAGAUUAAGCCAGGUCAACACACGCAGUGCUGGGCUGAGCUUUAGUUACAUGUAGAACACUGAUCUUUAAGGUACCUGAAGCUAAGCACUCUCAGAAUGUCAGACCAUGUGGAGGGGCAAGGCAACAGAAAACAGACCACAGAAAGCCUGGUCCACAGGCCUGCAGUCAGUGGGUCCCACAGCUCCACCUGAAGCUAAUGGGCCUUCUCCCCCUCAGGUGUUAGGAAGGAAGUACAUCCGGCUGUAUUCUCCGCAAGAGUCUGAGGCAGUGUACCCUCAUGAGACACACAUUCUUCAUAACACCAGCCAGGUGGGCAUACGGGAAAUCAGGGUGUCAUGGUGCCUUCUGUCUCUACAGACCAGCAGAUGACUUCUGUUGCUUUCUGCAGGUUGAUGUGGAAAACCCCGACCUAGAGAAGUUCCCCAAGUUCACCGAGGCCCCGUUUCUGUCCUGCAUUCUGUCCCCAGGAGACACCCUCUUUAUACCUGCUAAGUACUGGCAUUACGUGCGCUCCCUGGACCUGAGCUUCUCUGUCAGCUUCUGGUGGUCAUAGCAAAGGCGGAGUGGAAAGGACCCUCCAGGAAGACACCUUAUCCAAAAGCAGUGAACCCAGUGACAGUGUUAGACUCCAGCAGUCCUGCUCCACAAUCAGUAUCUGUUAGGAUGUCACAGAGCUGCUG
This 718-nucleotide long non-coding RNA is filed under the name Rattus norvegicus (Norway rat). RNAcentral describes it as "long non-coding RNA NONRATT001190". The record is from RNAcentral. Lineage: Eukaryota; Metazoa; Chordata; Mammalia; Rodentia; Muridae.